GAUGAAGAACGUAGCGAAAUGCGAUACUUGGUGUGAAUUGCAGAAUCCCGUGAACCAUCGAGUCUUUGAACGCAAGUUGCGCCCGAAGCCAUUAGGCCGAGGGCACGCCUGCCUGGGCGUCACACGUCGUUGCCCCCCCAUCUACUCCUUCGGGAUUGCGGGGGGCGGAUGAUGGCCUCCCGUGCGCCUCGCCGCGCGGUUGGCAUAAAUGCCAAGUCCUCGGCGACGCACGCCACGACAAUCGGUGGUUGCGAAACCUCGGUUGCCCGUCGUGUGCGGUCGUCGCGCAUCGAGGGCUCGAAAAAAUUGCCGGGUUCCGGCUCGGCUUUCAACGCGACCCCAGGUCAGGCGGGGUUCCCGCUGAAUUUAAGCAUAUCAAUAAGCGGAGGA
RNAcentral lists this unclassified non-coding RNA (390 nucleotides) under soil metagenome. RNAcentral describes it as "partial contains 5.8S ribosomal RNA, internal transcribed spacer 2, and large subunit ribosomal RNA". The stretch from base 1 to 122 matches the Rfam family "5.8S ribosomal RNA", at positions 35 to 154 of the family's 154-position model. The record is from RNAcentral.